Molecule: ribosomal RNA, 207 nt
Filed under: uncultured bacterium
Lineage: Bacteria
Description: partial 16S ribosomal RNA
Rfam family: Bacterial small subunit ribosomal RNA
Source: RNAcentral
CGCGUAGGCGGCCGAUUAAGUCGGGGGUGAAAGCCUGUGGCUCAACCACAGAAUUGCCUUCGAUACUGGUUGGCUUGAGACCGGAAGAGGACAGCGGAACUGCGAGUGUAGAGGUGAAAUUCGUAGAUAUUCGCAAGAACACCAGUGGCGAAGGCGGCUGUCUGGUCCGGUUCUGACGCUGAGGCGCGAAAGCGUGGGGAGCAAAUA